Haliotis rubra (blacklip abalone) is the source of this 438-nucleotide long non-coding RNA. RefSeq lists it as uncharacterized. The transcript is spliced from 3 exons. The record is from RefSeq and is a predicted model, not a curated record. Lineage: Eukaryota; Metazoa; Mollusca; Gastropoda; Lepetellida; Haliotidae.
GUUUGAGCACGUGCAGACUGCCUCGAAAUCACGGUUUUGGCCGCAUUGGAAAUCUUGAUGAACUGUUGCGAUCCAUGGACCAACCCAACAUUCAUGGACCAACCCAACAUGGAAACUGCAUGCCGAGAGUUGAGCCUUACACCAGGCACAUCCAGAACCGAGCUUGGGUUACAGAGCUUGGAUUACAGGUUGCUGCUCAUAUGAGGAAUUAAGGUUUGUCAGCACCAAUCCCAUGCUUGAGGGUCACCCAAGUGGUAAAAAGGCUGACACCUGCAUCACUUCUGGCUUCCUUCCAGAAGGAAGCUGAAAUGCCUUAAUACAACUGGAAUACUGUUCAAAGUUACGUUAAACCCCACCCACUCAAACCCUUUCAUGAUUAUGCCAGUUUGAGUUGUUACUCCCAUUUCUCAUUUAUCUACUGUGAAUAUCUGACAAAAA